RNAcentral lists this ribosomal RNA (459 nucleotides) under uncultured bacterium. RNAcentral describes it as "SSU rRNA". It matches the Rfam family "Bacterial small subunit ribosomal RNA", at positions 26 to 518 of the family's 1533-position model. The record is from RNAcentral.
AGAAUCAACGCUGGCGGCGUGCCUAACACAUGCAAGUCGAACGAGAAAGUGGAGCAAUCCAUGAGUAAAGUGGCGACCGGGUGAGUAACACGUGACUAACCUACCCUACAGUGGGGGAUAACUCCGGGAAACCGGGCUAAUACCGCAUAACAUCGUAAGAUCAAAGGAGCAAUUCGCUGAAGGAGGGGGUCGCGGCUGAUUAGUUAGUUGGUGAGGUAACGGCUCACCAAGACGAAGAUCAGUAGCCGGCCUGAGAGGGCGCACGGCCACACUGGAACUGAAACACGGUCCAGACUCCUACGGGAGGCAGCAGUGGGGAAUUUUGCGCAAUGGGGGAAACCCUGACGCAGCAACGCCGCGUGGAGGAUGAAGUCCCUUGGGAUGUAAACUCCUUUCGAUCGGGACGAUUAUGACGGUACCAGAAGAAGAAGCACCGGCUAACUCUGCGCCAGCAGCCGC